UACAGAGGGGGCAAGCGUUGUUCGGAAUUACUGGGCGUAAAGGGCGCGUAGGCGCCUUCUAAGUCGAACGUGAAAUCCCCGGGCUCAACCCGGGAACUGCGUCCGAUACUGGAAGGCUUGAAUCCGGGAGACGGAUGCGGAAUUCCAGGUGUAGCGGUGAAAUGCGUAGAUAUCUGGAGGAACACCGGUGGCGAAGGCGGCAUCCUGGACCGGCAUUGACGCUGAGGCGCGAAAGCCAGGGGAGCAAAGCGGG
This 253-nucleotide ribosomal RNA is filed under the name uncultured bacterium. Its description in RNAcentral is "partial 16S ribosomal RNA". It matches the Rfam family "Bacterial small subunit ribosomal RNA", at positions 524 to 777 of the family's 1533-position model. The record is from RNAcentral.